Molecule: small nucleolar RNA, 135 nt
Organism: Ailuropoda melanoleuca (giant panda)
Lineage: Eukaryota; Metazoa; Chordata; Mammalia; Carnivora; Ursidae
Source: Ensembl
AGCCUCGUUCUAGAAGGAAAUGGGCACUAUCAUUCAUCGUGUCCAGAAAUCGUUAAUGUGGCUACACUGAGACACAGGAUAUGCUGCCAGCACGGCAAGUUUAUUUCAGUGGUGACAAUCAGACUCAUAACAUUU